CCUACGGGUGGCAGCAGUGGGGAAUAUUGCACAAUGGGGGAAACCCUGAUGCAGCGACGCCGCGUGAGUGAAGAAGGAUCUCGGUAUGUAAAGCUCUUUCAGCAGGGAAGAAAAUGACGGUACCUGACUAAUAAGCCCCGGCUAAAUCCGUGCCAGCAGCCGCGGUAAUACGGAGGGUGCAAGCGUUAUCCGGAUUUACUGGGUGUAAAGGGAGCGUAGGCGGCAGCACAAGUCAGGUGUGAAAUCCUGGGGCUUAACCAUGGAACUGCUUUUGAAACUGUGAGGCUGGAGUGCAGGAGGGGUAAGUGGAAUUCGUGGUGUAGCGGUGAAAUGCGUAGAGAUCAGGAGGAACACCGGUGGCGAAGGCGGCUUACUGGACUGUAACUGACGUUGAGGCUCGAAAGCGUGGGGAGCAAACAGGAUUAGAUACCCCUGUAGUC
RNAcentral lists this ribosomal RNA (440 nucleotides) under uncultured bacterium. RNAcentral describes it as "partial 16S ribosomal RNA". It matches the Rfam family "Bacterial small subunit ribosomal RNA", at positions 338 to 795 of the family's 1533-position model. The record is from RNAcentral.